AAAUUGAAGAGUUUGAUCAUGGCUCAGAUUGAACGCUGGCGGCAGGCCUAACACAUGCAAGUCGAACGGUAACAGGAAACAGCUUGCUGUUUCGCUGACGAGUGGCGGACGGGUGAGUAAUGUCUGGGAAACUGCCUGAUGGAGGGGGAUAACUACUGGAAACGGUAGCUAAUACCGCAUAACGUCGCAAGACCAAAGAGGGGGACCUUCGGGCCUCUUGCCAUCGGAUGUGCCCAGAUGGGAUUAGCUAGUAGGUGGGGUAACGGCUCACCUAGGCGACGAUCCCUAGCUGGUCUGAGAGGAUGACCAGCCACACUGGAACUGAGACACGGUCCAGACUCCUACGGGAGGCAGCAGUGGGGAAUAUUGCACAAUGGGCGCAAGCCUGAUGCAGCCAUGCCGCGUGUAUGAAGAAGGCCUUCGGGUUGUAAAGUACUUUCAGCGGGGAGGAAGGGAGUAAAGUUAAUACCUUUGCUCAUUGACGUUACCCGCAGAAGAAGCACCGGCUAACUCCGUGCCAGCAGCCGCGGUAAUACGGAGGGUGCAAGCGUUAAUCGGAAUUACUGGGCGUAAAGCGCACGCAGGCGGUUUGUUAAGUCAGAUGUGAAAUCCCCGGGCUCAACCUGGGAACUGCAUCUGAUACUGGCAAGCUUGAGUCUCGUAGAGGGGGGUAGAAUUCCAGGUGUAGCGGUGAAAUGCGUAGAGAUCUGGAGGAAUACCGGUGGCGAAGGCGGCCCCCUGGACGAAGACUGACGCUCAGGUGCGAAAGCGUGGGGAGCAAACAGGAUUAGAUACCCUGGUAGUCCACGCCGUAAACGAUGUCGACUUGGAGGUUGUGCCCUUGAGGCGUGGCUUCCGGAGCUAACGCGUUAAGUCGACCGCCUGGGGAGUACGGCCGCAAGGUUAAAACUCAAAUGAAUUGACGGGGGCCCGCACAAGCGGUGGAGCAUGUGGUUUAAUUCGAUGCAACGCGAAGAACCUUACCUGGUCUUGACAUCCACAGAACCUUGUAGAGAUACGAGGGUGCCUUCGGGAACUGUGAGACAGGUGCUGCAUGGCUGUCGUCAGCUCGUGUUGUGAAAUGUUGGGUUAAGUCCCGCAACGAGCGCAACCCUUAUCCUUUGUUGCCAGCGGUCCGGCCGGGAACUCAAAGGAGACUGCCAGUGAUAAACUGGAGGAAGGUGGGGAUGACGUCAAGUCAUCAUGGCCCUUACGACCAGGGCUACACACGUGCUACAAUGGCGCAUACAAAGAGAAGCGACCUCGCGAGAGCAAGCGGACCUCAUAAAGUGCGUCGUAGUCCGGAUUGGAGUCUGCAACUCGACUCCAUGAAGUCGGAAUCGCUAGUAAUCGUGGAUCAGAAUGCCACGGUGAAUACGUUCCCGGGCCUUGUACACACCGCCCGUCACACCAUGGGAGUGGGUUGCAAAAGAAGUAGGUAGCUUAACCUUCGGGAGGGCGCUUACCACUUUGUGAUUCAUGACUGGGGUGAAGUCGUAACAAGGUAACCGUAGGGGAACCUGCGGUUGGAUCACCUCCUUACCUUAAAGAAGC
This 1554-nucleotide ribosomal RNA is filed under the name Escherichia coli. RNAcentral's name for it is "bacterial SSU rRNA". It matches the Rfam family "Bacterial small subunit ribosomal RNA". The record is from RNAcentral. Lineage: Bacteria; Pseudomonadati; Pseudomonadota; Gammaproteobacteria; Enterobacterales; Enterobacteriaceae.